AGGGUUUGAUCAUGGCUCAGAACGUACGCUGGCGGCACGCCUAACACAUGCAAGUCGAACGAAGUAGUAAUACUUAGUGGCAGACGGGUGAGUAACAUGUGGGUAUCUGCCCUUUGGCCUGGAAUAACACGAGGAAACUUGUGCUAAUACCGGAUAAGUCUUUACGGAGAAAGCUUUAUGCACCAUUGGAUGAGCCCGCACUUGAUUAGUUUGUUGGUGGGGUAAUAGCCUACCAAGACUAUGAUCAAUAGCUGAUUUGAGAGGAUGAUCAGCCACAUUGGGACUGAGACACGGCCCAAACUCCUACGGGAGGCAGCAGUGGGGAAUCUUGCACAAUGGAGGAAACUCUGAUGCAGCGAUGCCGCGUGAGUGAAGAAGGCCUUUGGGUUGUAAAGCUCUUUCGUCGGGGAAGAAAAUGACUGUACCCGAAUAAGAAGGUCCGGCUAACUUCGUGCCAGCAGCCGCGGUAAUACGAAGGGACCUAGCGUAGUUCGGAAUUACUGGGCUUAAAGAGUUCGUAGGUGGUUGAAAAAGUUGGUGGUGAAAUCCCAGAGCUUAACUCUGGAACUGCCAUCAAAACUUUUCAGCUAGAGUUUGAUAGAGGAAAGCAGAAUUUCUAGUGUAGAGGUGAAAUUCGUAGAUAUUAGAAAGAAUACCAAUUGCGAAGGCAGCUUUCUGGAUCAUUACUGACACUGAGGAACGAAAGCAUGGGUAGCGAAGAGGAUUAGAUACCCUCGUAGUCCAUGCCGUAAACGAUGUGUGUUAGACGUUGGAAAUUUAUUUUCAGUGUCGCAGCGAAAGCGAUAAACACACCGCCUGGGGAGUACGACCGCAAGGUUAAAACUCAAAUGAAUUGACGGGGACCCGCACAAGUAGUGGAGCAUGUGGUUUAAUUCGAAGAUACGCGCAGAACCUUACCAACACUUGACAUGUUCGUCGCGACUUUAAGAGAUUAAAGUUUUCGGUUCGGCCGGACGAAACACAGGUGCUGCAUGGCUGUCGUCAGCUCGUGUCGUGAGAUGUUGGGUUAAGUCCCGCAACGAGCGCAACCCUCACUUUUAGUUGCCAUCAUUUAGUUGGGCACUCUGAAAGAACUGCCAGUGAUAAGCUGGAGGAAGGUGGGGAUGACGUCAAGUCCUCAUGGCCCUUACGUGUUGGGCUACACACGUGCUACAAUGGUAUCUACAACAGGAAGCGAAACAGCGAUGUUAAGCAAAUCCUUAAAAGAUACCUCAGUUCGGAUUGCACUCUGCAACUCGAGUGCAUGAAGCUGGAAUUACUAGUAAUCGUGGAUCAGCGUGCCACGGUGAAUGCGUUCCCGGGUCUUGUACACACCGCCCGUCACACCAUGGGAGUUGGUUCUACCUUAAGGCAAGGUUUAAUACCCUUGACCACGGUAUAGUCAGCGACUGGGGUGAAGUCAUAACAAGGUAACCG
Molecule: ribosomal RNA, 1437 nt
Filed under: uncultured bacterium
Lineage: Bacteria
Description: bacterial SSU rRNA
Rfam family: Bacterial small subunit ribosomal RNA
Source: RNAcentral